GAUGAACGCUGGCGGCGUGCCUAAUACAUGCAAGUCGAGCGAACAGAUAAGGAGCUUGCUCCUUUGACGUUAGCGGCGGACGGGUGAGUAACACGUGGGUAACCUACCUAUAAGACUGGGAUAACUUCGGGAAACCGGAGCUAAUACCGGAUAAUAUUUCGAACCGCAUGGUUCGAUAGUGAUAGAUGGUUUUGCUAUCACUUAUAGAUGGACCCGCGCCGUAUUAGCUAGUUGGUAAGGUAACGGCUUACCAAGGCGACGAUACGUAGCCGACCUGAGAGGGUGAUCGGCCACACUGGAACUGAGACACGGUCCAGACUCCUACGGGAGGCAGCAGUAGGGAAUCUUCCGCAAUGGGCGAAAGCCUGACGGAGCAACGCCGCGUGAGUGAUGAAGGUCUUCGGAUCGUAAAACUCUGUUAUUAGGGAAGAACAUACGUGUAAGUAACUGUGCACGUCUUGACGGUACCUAAUCAGAAAGCCACGGCUAACUACGUG
RNAcentral lists this ribosomal RNA (497 nucleotides) under uncultured bacterium. RNAcentral describes it as "partial 16S ribosomal RNA". It matches the Rfam family "Bacterial small subunit ribosomal RNA", at positions 28 to 507 of the family's 1533-position model. The record is from RNAcentral.